RNAcentral lists this long non-coding RNA (519 nucleotides) under Anser brachyrhynchus (Pink-footed goose). RNAcentral describes it as "lncRNA (ENSABRG00000017992.1)". Lineage: Eukaryota; Metazoa; Chordata; Aves; Anseriformes; Anatidae. The record is from RNAcentral.
UUGGAACUCCUGGCUUGAAAAUGAAUGUUUUUCCACUCAUAGAUUUCAGUCAGUGGAUCCACUUACAGAUCAAGGGAAAAGAAUCUCACAGAAUACAUGGAAAAUCAAGUAAGUUAUAGAAGUAAAAGGCAAAUGCAGCUGGAGACAGACUUCCUUUAGACAGAUGUUCUACUUCUGAAGAAAAAAUAAAAUAAGGAGUUGGAGGAAGAAACAAAAGAAAAAAGUAACAAUAUAGAAAACAAUUUAGAUCAUGGUCUGUUCUUCUGUAUUGCAAAUUCUAAACUUUCCACAAGUUACCUCAGGCCAUUUGCUUCAUUACAGUGUCAAGGUAAGAGUCCAGGCUUUUUAAGUAACAGUGUCAGCACUAAAUGCACUGAUUUUUCUCAGCAGCCUGGUUGUUAGCUACCCCAAUAGUUAAUGUCUAAUGGUUAUAGAAAUCACCCUUUGUUCAAUGACGUAAUUCCCCCAAAUCCUUAACCAAGCCCACUACUGAAAAAUAAAAGUAUUAUGCUUGUUUCA